RNAcentral lists this ribosomal RNA (730 nucleotides) under Netrostylis capillaris. RNAcentral describes it as "eukaryotic LSU rRNA". The stretch from base 253 to 407 matches the Rfam family "5.8S ribosomal RNA". Lineage: Eukaryota; Viridiplantae; Streptophyta; Magnoliopsida; Poales; Cyperaceae. The record is from RNAcentral.
AGUUUCCGUAGGUGAACCUGCGGAAGGAUCAUUGUCGUUGGCUUGCGAAAACACGACCGUUGUGCAUGUGAUCGAAUGCUGCCGGGGAGGCGCUGCCUUCUCGGCCCACCGGCCCGGCCCUCGCGCCUUCGGGGCGCGUUGGUCGUGUGCCGAAUACGGCGCGGGUUGACGCCAAGGAACACGGUAUGCUGAGGCGGCUGGCGGAGCGCGAAGGCGCACUGCCCGCUGUCGAUGCAAAGGAAAAACCAUGAUGACUCUCGGCAACGGAUAUCUCGGCUCUCGCAUCGAUGAAGAACGUAGCGAAAUGCGAUACGUGGUGUGAAUUGCAGAAUCCCGCGAACCAUCGAGUCUUUGAACGCAAGUUGCGCCCGAGGGACCUGCCCGAGGGCACGCCUGCCUGGGCGUUAGAAGCCCAUCCACGCUCAUGCGCCUAACCUCGUCCUUUGUGGCAGGUUAUGGCCCGAUGCGGAUAUUGGCCCUUCGUGCCUGAAGGCGCGGCGGGCCCAAGUACGUGGCCGUCUGGUUGGGCUCAUACCCGGGAGCGGCGAGUGGUGGGAAUUUCUGCGCGCGCCGCCCCGUGUCCCCAGUCGGCCGCUGUAGGUCGAGACAGUCGCCUGCAAUGAAACCCCAAACGAGGAGCCGGCUGACGCAGCCUGGUGCUGUGCGGCAUCUUCGGACCGAUACCCCAGGUCAGGCGGGGCUACCCGCCGAGUUUAAGCAUAUAAAUAAG